GUGAAUUAAACAUGCUUGGUGUCUUCGCUUCGGCAAGGCCCUUGCUUAAAUUACAUCCUAACACCUGUGAACUGUAAGACGUAUGAUGAGGUCUUUGGCCAAGUCAUCGUCUGCCCAUUUUUAACAAACAAUUAAUGUAACAAACGUAGUCUUAUUAUAACCUAAUA
RNAcentral lists this unclassified non-coding RNA (167 nucleotides) under soil metagenome. RNAcentral's name for it is "partial internal transcribed spacer 1". The record is from RNAcentral.